RNAcentral lists this ribosomal RNA (334 nucleotides) under Staphylococcus hyicus. Its description in RNAcentral is "partial 23S ribosomal RNA". It matches the Rfam family "Bacterial large subunit ribosomal RNA", at positions 2592 to 2925 of the family's 2925-position model. The record is from RNAcentral. Lineage: Bacteria; Bacillati; Bacillota; Bacilli; Caryophanales; Staphylococcaceae.
AGCGGUACGCGAGCUGGGUUCAGAACGUCGUGAGACAGUUCGGUCCCUAUCCGUCGUGGGCGUAGGAAAUUUGAGAGGAGCUGUCCUUAGUACGAGAGGACCGGGAUGGACAUACCUCUGGUGUACCAGUUGUCGUGCCAACGGCAUAGCUGGGUAGCUAUGUAUGGACGGGAUAAGUGCUGAAAGCAUCUAAGCAUGAAGCCCCCCUCAAGAUGAGAUUUCCCAACUUCGGUUAUAAGAUCCCUCAGAGAUGAUGAGGUUAAUAGGUUCGAGGUGGAAGCGUAGCGAUACGUGGAGCUGACGAAUACUAAUCGAUCGAAGACUUAAUCAAUUU